UUCCUACGGGACGCAGCAGUGGGGAAUAUUGCGCAAUGGGCGAAAGCCUGACGCAGCGACGCCGCGUGGGCGAAGAAGUAUUUCGGUAUGUAAAGCCCUAUCAGCAGGGAAGAAGAAAUGACGGUACCUGAGUAAGAAGCACCGGCUAAAUACGUGCCAGCAGCCGCGGUAAUACGUAUGGUGCAAGCGUUAUCCGGAUUUACUGGGUGUAAAGGGAGCGCAGGCGGCACGGCAAGCCUGAUGUGAAAGCCCGCGGCCCAACCGCGGGACUGCAUUGGGAACUACCGGGCUGGAGUGCCGGAGCG
RNAcentral lists this ribosomal RNA (305 nucleotides) under uncultured bacterium. RNAcentral's name for it is "bacterial SSU rRNA". It matches the Rfam family "Bacterial small subunit ribosomal RNA", at positions 336 to 656 of the family's 1533-position model. The record is from RNAcentral.